UUCAUCCUCUCCACCUCCUUGCGCCUCCCUGCCGGUACCCUUCUCUGCUCAAAACUGCUGCUGCUUGUGCGCUCCAGCUGCUCCUUCUUCUCCUGCCUACUGCUGUUUCUUCUUGCCCACAUCACUUUUGCUGCUCCUCUUCUCUGCCUCGCUACUGUUUUUCUUACCUAAACCUCAAAACUGCUGAUGUUCUCUUCUAAACAACAAAACUGCUGCCGCUCUCUUUCUUUCUCUUUCUCUCACUCUUUCUAUGUGUCUGUGUGUGUAUUUGCUGAUAGUUACUACUGGAUGCUCGACCAAUUACAUUCAAAUUAGUAUUAGCUCUCUAUGUGUCUGUAAGUCAGUUAGUGUACUGUUCUGUUCUGAAAAGGUGAAACUUGUGUAUUGUUCUGAACACCCAAUUUGUGUUUUGUUAUGUAUUAGUUUCUGCAAUAUAUGUGAAGUUGUGAGUUGUUGAGCUGAUCAUUUUCGAUUAGACUUGUAUUGUCAUGAAUUUUGAGUCAUAUAUAUAUAUAUAUAUAUAUAUAUAUAUAUAUAUAUAUAUAUAAAUUCGGUCAAUUCUAGUAACUGUGGUGUUCCAUAUUUGUGAAUCUCCUGUACAAAUGAGUUCCAUUGCUAUAGAACUCAAUGGUGCUCUACAUCAUCUUAAAUGUCUGCUUGUGAACCAUGUACCAUAAUCUUUCUGUCCCUUAUCCUUUAUGCUUGCCUGUGUUAGUAUUUUAAUUUCUCAAGCAUAAUGAAACUACUAUAAAGACAGAGAGUAUAAUCUGAACCUUCCUUUGCUUCUAUCGUUUUCUUUUGUCGAUGAUUUUUCCCGAAUGAUCUUAGUUAGUCUAGAUUUAAUAUUCUGCCUUCAUCACCCAAUAUUGUCUUACCUAGAUUUAGCCAAGCGUUGUUGCCGUCGCCUAGUCCCUGUGGAGAACACAACAUCCAUAGUUUGGGCAUAAAAACCCUGCUAUAUUACAAACGAUCACUUUGGCGCCGUUGCCGGGGACUAGCGUCGAGCGUUUGUGUGAGGCUUUAGACUAGGUUUAGCUUGUUUCCUUUUUGUGCUUUAUAUAUUUGUGAUAUAUCCCUAGCCACUAACCCCUGUUCUAGUUAGUAUCUUUUUGUCUUCUUUUCCUUUUUGCAGGUUGGAUUAUCCUCUCGGUUAUGGCUUACUAUUCAGAUCAUCAGGAUUAUGCGAGCAACACUACAAACAACACGGAAAGUGUUCAAGAACUGAUAGGUAAGAUUUCCCAUCGAUUAGAUGAUUUAGCUUGGCAGCGAGAAGGAGUUUUUGAGGAUAGGCCUAGCUCUUAUGAUCCUUAUUCUAGAGGCUAUCCUUAUGUUGCUCCUACCUGCCAUAUUUGUGGAUUUCAGGGCCAUUCGCCCGCUGAAUGUCAGCAUGGUUACUCCCAUCCUCCGGAUUGUUUUGGCAUGAGCUUCGCUCAACAGCAUAGCUCAUACCAAAACAAUUACACACAUGGGUGGCCUGAAAACCAGAAUAUGUCAUAUAGGAGCAAUAACCCUGAGAUCUCAUCGUUUGCUUCUAGUACUCAUAUGUAGGGAUUUAGGUACAAUGAGGAGAGCCACAAUUAUGCACCAAAACAAUUCCAUUCAGCUCCUACUCAUAUACCACAGCACCAGGAGAUGUUGCCAAUGGAGUUAAAUGGUCCUCCAUUUGGUCAACCAACAACUCCAGCAACUGCUGAGCAAUCUCAUGUGCAAGUGCCCACUCAAGAUGAGUUCGAUGACAUAGACAAGCUCACAUUGCUUAGUCUUGAGUUCACUUGGAGUGCCGAGGAUGAUCCUAUUAGGAAGGUUAUACUAGAUGAAAUGAAGAAGAUCAAGAGUGGAAAAGAGCUAGUGGAAGAAGUAAGGAAGAUUGAGAAGAACAUCAACGCUGGCAGCACUAUUUCUUCACAACUUGAGUUGAGUGUGGCUGAGAUAUCCAUGGAUACAUGUGAGGUUCCAACACCUUCACAUUUCGUUGAGCAAGUUAGCAAGUGCCUUGAGCAAGAGAUACCUCAGAUUGAAGAAGAUGAACUAGAAGACAAGGAACAAGAUGGUCAAGAGCUGCAAUUCCCAAGUGAUCAAGUUGAAGACUCAUCAUCUAUUACUCCUGAAGAAGUACAAGAAGCUGCUGUAGAUGAAGAUGAAGAACAUGAGAUUCAUUUGCCUAUUGUCAUACCAGAGCGUGAUGUGUCAGGUUUACUCAAUCCUCUUGAUGACAUGAUGCCUUGUGAUUUCUUGGCUACCACCUUGCAUUACAUGAUACCAUCACUUACGAUCGAUUUGAAAACUCAUUUGCUUGGAUAUGAUGAUAUAUACCCUGUUAGUGGCAUUGCUCUCAUUUGUGAUGAUCAAAAUUACUUUCCUCAUGCUAGUCUUGAGCUUAAUGAUAAAUGUCAUCCUCGUGUGAGUAUUGACCAUGCUGAUUUCUGCCAUCCUAAACAUGUGCUUUAUAGUUAUGCUUAUAUAAUUGGAUAUUCCAUUGAUGACUUGGAGGGCAUCGACCGUAUCACUUGUAGUUGUUUGUGUGAGUCCUAUUUCGGGCUUUUGCUACUGCACUGUUUACUACAUGCUGACCAGGUUCGAGGUGACAUUCCUUGGGAUCCUGGUGGAGUCAGAGCAUGGCUAUGAGGGGAGCACAAACAGGGAACACAAACAAAGAAGAGUGGAGAGAAGAAAGUAGGAGAGAAGAGUAUACAAAUACCAGGUGAUUCUGUUCCACUUGAAGCAACCUUUAGAAAAUUUAGUACGAGAACUGGCAUUUUAUUGCAUUGAAACUCUUUUUGCAUUGUGACACCUUACUCUUCACUGCAAAGUAGGAUUCACUCCAAGAAGAUUGUUGAUUCUCUUAAUACUAAAACUAUGCAGCUGUAUUCUUCUUAUGGUAAUUUGUGAUAAUGAAUACUUUAUACCUCCAUGUAAAUGUUCAAUGGGAAUGCCUUGAGUCUAAGUGAAACCUACUAAUGAAUUGAUGUGCUGUGUCUGACUGUCCCAAGUUAAGCUAAGUAACUGGUGGCACUUAAGUAGUAGCUAUGAUCUCUGGAUCUGUAGUAUGUGAAAAACAGUGCCAUUAGCUAUGGAUUCCUCUUUCAAUUAUUCCUGUUUUACUUAAGCUAAGUAAUUUUCAAAUAACUAAAUAAAAUAAUUAUAAUAAUUUAAGUCCGAUCGACCUAUAGUAGCAUGUCAUGUUCCCUGGAUCGGUGGCUUGUGAAAUCUGGUAGAUUGGACUGUAAAAAAAAUUUAUAUAAAAAUGCUAUUAUUUGUCGAACCAGGUGUAUACCAUGUUCUCGGGAUUGGUGGUAUGUUCCUUUGGGGAGAUAAUAACAAAAAAAUAUAAUAAUAAUUUGUCGAACCAGGUGUAUACCAUGUUCUCGGGAUCGGUGGUAUGUUCCUUCGGGGAGAUAACAAAAAAAUAUAUACUAAUAAUUUGGCCGAGCCAGGUGUAUACCAUGUUCUCGGGAUCGGUGGUAUGUUCCUUUGGUGAGACUGAUAUAAUAUCAUCACUUGUGCUUUAAAUUCAAUAAGUAACUUGUUUUUCUAAUUGAUUUUGGGGUCCCAGCUUAUCUCAGGGCUGAAGACAGAGCCAGCUCUUGAUUAUUAGUAUUCACUUUGACUCAAGGCCAUUGACUUGGAACAUUUACAGUGUGUUAUAAAAUAUUUCUUAUCACAAUUUAGCUUCAGUAGAGUACAUUUGCUUAGUUCCAGUAUUGUCGGAAUUACUAUCUAUCGGAAAGUGCAUCUUUACUAGGAAGUGUGAGUUGUGUCACCAUCAAUUUUUUUUCCUUUGCUUGAGGACAAGCAAAGAUUUAACUGUGGGGGAACUUGAUAAGCACAUUUCUUAUAUACUAUUUGGGCACACAAAUUCACCUUUUAUUGAGAUAUAUCCAUCCAUUCUUGCUAUGACUUGUUGAAUAUUCGAAUGAUAAUCAUAAAAGAGAAUGUUGACUAGUGAAUUGUUUAUUUUGCAGAAAAGUGCGCAAAGGCACUAUAAUCGUCAAGACUUCUACUAUGUGGCUAACGAGAAGAGAGAAGGGCAUGAAAGAAAUACGUCAAGGCUUGAGCGUGAAGGAAAGAAGUAAUGUAGGGGAGCAAACUAAAAGAAGAGGAGGAUCUUCUUGGGAAGAAAGAAGAAAGGAGGAGGGCCAAAGUAAAAAAAGAUAGAACAGAGGAGGGGAUCAAAAAUCCCUAGCGCAGCCGAUCCCCAUCGGGCCUGGCAUCUCACCUCUCUCCCUCACCCCUCCUUCUCCACCACCGGCCGCCGCCGCGGCCAGGCCGGCGUGGCGGUGCGCCUGCUGCUCCUCCACUCAGCCACGAGCACCAUCCGCCGCACCAUCCAUCCAUCCCAGCCGCGCCACGCCAUCCAUCCACCACUCCACCAGCGCCCACCUCGCGCGCCCCUCCUGCCGCUUCCUCUCUGAACCUGCUGUUGCUGCUGCAUCUUCCUUCUUCCUCUCGACCUCCUGUUGCUCUUCUCCAAGCACCGCUGCUGCUCCUUCCUUGCAACCCCCUGCUGUUGUUCAUCCUCUCCACCUCCUUGCGCCUCCCUGCCGGUACCCUUCUCUGCUCAAAACUGCUGCUGCUUGUGCGCUCCAGCUGCUCCUUCUUCUCCUUCCUACUGCUGGUUCUUCUUCCCCACAUCACUUUUGCUGCUCCUCUUCUCUGCCUCGCUACUGUUUUUCUUACCUGAACCUCAAAACUGCUGCUGUUCUCUUCUAAACAACAAAACUGCUGCCGCUCUCUUUCUUUCUCUUUCUCUCACUCUUUCUAUGUGUCUGUGUGUGUAUUUGCUGAUAGUUACUACUGGAUGCUAGACCAAUUACAUUCAAAUCAGUAUUAGCUCUCUAUGUGUCUGUAAGUCAGUUAGUGUACUAUUCUGUUCUGAAAAGGUGAAACUUGUGUAUUGUUCUGAACACCCAAUUUGUGUUUUGUUAUGUAUUAGUUUCUGCAAUAUAUGUGAAGUUGUGAGUUGUUGAGCUGAUCAUUUUCGAUUAGACUUGUAUUGUCAU
RNAcentral lists this long non-coding RNA (5000 nucleotides) under Triticum aestivum (bread wheat). RNAcentral describes it as "long non-coding RNA (TAES_LNC022504)". The record is from RNAcentral. Lineage: Eukaryota; Viridiplantae; Streptophyta; Magnoliopsida; Poales; Poaceae.